UACCAUGCAGUCGAACGCCCCGCAGGGGAGUGGCAGACGGGUGAGUAACGCGUGGGAACAUACCCUUUCCUGCGGAAUAGCUCCGGGAAACUGGAAUUAAUACCGCAUACGCCCUACGGGGGAAAGAUUUAUCGGGGAAGGAUUGGCCCGCGUUGGAUUAGCUAGUUGGUGGGGUAAAGGCCUACCAAGGCGACGAUCCAUAGCUGGUCUGAGAGGAUGAUCAGCCACAUUGGGACUGAGACACGGCCCAAACUCCUACGGGAGGCAGCAGUGGGGAAUAUUGGACAAUGGGCGCAAGCCUGAUCCAGCCAUGCCGCGUGAGUGAUGAAGGCCUUAGGGUUGUAAAGCUCUUUCACCGAUGAAGAUAAUGACGGUAGUCGGAGAAGAAGCCCCGGCUAACUUCGUGCCAGCAGCCGCGGUAAUACGAAGGGGGCUAGCGUUGUUCGGAAUUACUGGGCGUAAAGCGCACGUAGGCGGAUAUUUAAGUCAGGGGUGAAAUCCCGCAGCUCAACUGCGGAACUGCCUUUGAUACUGGGUAUCUUGAGUAUGGAAGAGGUAAGUGGAAUUCCGAGUGUAGAGGUGAAAUUCGUAGAUAUUCGGAGGAACACCAGUGGCGAAGGCGGCUUACUGGUCCAUUACUGACGCUGAGGUGCGAAAGCGUGGGGAGCAAACAGGAUUAGAUACCCUGGUAGUCCACGCCGUAACGAUGAAUGUUAGCCGUCGGGCAGUAUACUGUUCGGUGGCGCAGCUACGCAUUAAACAUUCCGCCUGGGGAGUACGGUCGCAAGAUUAAAACUCAAAGGAUUUGACGGGGCCCGCACAAGCGGUGGAGCAUGUGGUUUAAUUCGAA
This 850-nucleotide ribosomal RNA is filed under the name uncultured Rhizobium sp. Its description in RNAcentral is "bacterial SSU rRNA". It matches the Rfam family "Bacterial small subunit ribosomal RNA", at positions 52 to 955 of the family's 1533-position model. The record is from RNAcentral. Lineage: Bacteria; Pseudomonadati; Pseudomonadota; Alphaproteobacteria; Hyphomicrobiales; Rhizobiaceae.